CGGGGUGAGUAAUGUCUGGGAAACUGCCUGAUGGAGGGGGGUAACUACUGGAAACGGUAGCUAAUACCGCAUAACGUCGCAAGACCAAAGAGGGGGACCUAGGGCCUCUUGCCAUCGGAUGUGCCCAGAUGGGAUUAGCUAGUAGGUGGGGUAAUGGCUCACCUAGGCGACGAUCCCUAGCUGGUCUGAGAGGAUGACCAGCCACACUGGAACUGAGACACGGUCCAG
This 228-nucleotide ribosomal RNA is filed under the name uncultured bacterium. RNAcentral's name for it is "partial 16S ribosomal RNA". It matches the Rfam family "Bacterial small subunit ribosomal RNA", at positions 104 to 334 of the family's 1533-position model. The record is from RNAcentral.